AUUAAGCAGAGGAAGGAGGAAGAGGCAUAGAGUAAUGAAGUACAUUGGCCAGCAUCACCCAAGGGUACAGCUGCACAAACAAGUUACAGCAAGUUAAAUUAGAGGAUAUAUUAACGGAGUCAGAUGCUCUGCUCUAACUUCCUAUUUGUCUGCUCUGGACCUGCAGAAAAUGAAACUCAUCUUACCUCAGGACUAAUCAAAAGACUAAGCCUCUUCUCCGGCUGCAGGAAGGAAAAAAAGAAGAAAAGGCUAAGAAGGGAGUCCAGCUAGAGCAUACAUGCCACUCAGAUGCAGCUCAUGGGAAGACAGAGGAUACACAAUGUCGAGAAACUGCAAUUCCUAUUAAGAACACUUGACUGUUUACUCAGCAAGAGAACUUCAGGCUCAGGCUGCAUCAAUCUAAAUGCGUUUCAGGACGUCAGUCUUUUGAAAAGUGCAGACUGUUAGUUGGUUAUUUUUAAAUGUAAUCUUCACAUAAAAGAGUUACUGCAUUUUUUCUUUUCAC
This 505-nucleotide long non-coding RNA is filed under the name Serinus canaria (Common canary). RNAcentral describes it as "lncRNA (ENSSCAG00000007380.1)". The record is from RNAcentral. Lineage: Eukaryota; Metazoa; Chordata; Aves; Passeriformes; Fringillidae.